Molecule: ribosomal RNA, 655 nt
Filed under: uncultured archaeon
Lineage: Archaea
Description: bacterial SSU rRNA
Rfam family: Archaeal small subunit ribosomal RNA
Source: RNAcentral
UCCGGUUGAUCCUGCCAGAGGCCGCUGCUAUCCGGCUGGGACUAAGCCAUGCUAGUCUAGGGGCUUGUACCCCUUCGGGGGUGCAAGCACCGGCGGACGGCUCAGUAACACGUGGACAACCUGCCCUCGGGUUGGGGAUAACCCCGGGAAACUGGGGCUAAUCCCCCAUAGGUGAUGGGUGCUGGAAUGCCCCAUCUCCGAAAGCGCUCAGCGCCCGAGGAUGGGUCUGCGGCGGAUUAGGUAGUUGGUGGGGUAACGGCCCACCAAGCCUAAGAUCCGUACGGGCUGUGGGAGCAGGAGCCCGGAGAUGGACCCUGAGACAAGGGUCCAGGCCCUACGGGGCGCAGCAGGCGCGAAACCUCCGCAAUGCGGGAAACCGCGACGGGGUUAGCCGGAGUGCCCGUGCAUUGCACGGGCUGUCGGGGUGCCUAAACAGCACCCCAUAGCAAGGGCCGGGCAAGGCCGGUGGCAGCCGCCGCGGUAAGACCGGCGGCCCGAGUGGCGGCCACUCUUAUUGGGCCUAAAGCGUCCGUAGCCGGCCCAGUAAGUCCCCCGGGAAAUCUGGUCGCUUAACGAUCAGACUUCCGGGGGAUACUGCUGGGCUAGGGACCGGGAGAGGCCGAGGGGAUUCCCGGGGUAGGGGUGAAAUCCUGUA